This 157-nucleotide signal recognition particle RNA is filed under the name Homo sapiens (human). RNAcentral describes it as "Metazoan signal recognition particle RNA". It matches the Rfam family "Metazoan signal recognition particle RNA". Rfam says of the family: The signal recognition particle (SRP) is a universally conserved ribonucleoprotein. It is involved in the co-translational targeting of proteins to membranes. Lineage: Eukaryota; Metazoa; Chordata; Mammalia; Primates; Hominidae. The record is from Rfam by way of RNAcentral.
GCCGGGCAUGGUGGUGCAUGCCUGAGAUCCCAGCUACUCGGGAGGCUGAGGUGGAAGGAUUGCUUGAGCCCGGGAGCUCAAGGUUGCAGUUAGCUAUGACUGCCUGUGAACAGCCACUGCACUCCAGCCUGGGCAACAUAGCAAGACUCCACCUCUU